This is a small nucleolar RNA of Echinops telfairi (small Madagascar hedgehog), 138 nucleotides long. Ensembl annotates it as small nucleolar RNA, H/ACA box 41. The record is from Ensembl. Lineage: Eukaryota; Metazoa; Chordata; Mammalia; Afrosoricida; Tenrecidae.
UUCCACAGCUACUGGUCUGCAGCUGUUUUUAUGGUAGCAGUUGUGGCAUUCCUCUGUGGGAAAGAAAGUGUUACCCAAUGUGACAUCCCUCUUUCCCAGCAAAAUGGAAAGUUGGGCAUAUGUGUGUGACAGACACAG